CAGCCGCCGCGGGAAUACGAAGGGGGCUAGCGUUGUCCGGAAUUAUUGGGCGUAAAGGGCUCGCAGGCGGUUUCUUAAGUCUGAUGUGAAAGCCCCCGGCUCAACCGGGGAGGGUCAUUGGAAACUGGGAAACUUGAGUGCAGAAGAGGAGAGUGGAAUUCCACGUGUAGCGGUGAAAUGCGUAGAGAUGUGGAGGAACACCAGUGGCGAAGGCGACUCUCUGGUCUGUAACUGACGCUGAGGAGCGAGAGCGUGGGGAGCGAACAGGAUUAGAUACCCCCGUAGUCCCUGUCUUUUAUAC
RNAcentral lists this ribosomal RNA (301 nucleotides) under uncultured bacterium. Its description in RNAcentral is "partial 16S ribosomal RNA". It matches the Rfam family "Bacterial small subunit ribosomal RNA", at positions 509 to 809 of the family's 1533-position model. The record is from RNAcentral.